GUUAAGGAUUGGGGCAGCAGCCCCAAGCAGGGCACCUUGCCCCUCCAGAUUGAGUGCUUUCGAGAUGGCGGUGAGGGGAUAUGCAGAUAACCCACUAGAUAAUGUUAUUACACCGACGCUGGGAACGAGUUUUGACUCUUUAAGGGAGGCUUAUGAUUUCUACAACUUAUAAGGCAUCACAAGCAAUCUAUUGAGCACAUCGACCCUAAAAAUCUGGACGGACGCGAAGGUAUGACAGGGUUCAGACUUGCAAUCCAUGCCAGUAAUAUGAAAAAGAGAUAGGUCCAGAUUAGCAGUAGACAACAAUGUACAUUGCAAAAUUGGCAGGAAAUCAAGUUAUGUGUUCUGUAUCACUGAAUGUAAGUAUGUCUGACAGAUUAGUUGUCCAGCAUAAAAAAAUAGCUAACUUGGGUGUUGGCAACGGAUUAUGGAGGCAGUUUGCUCUUAAUUAGGAAAAAUGAAAAGUAGUAGAAUGACUUCUUCAGUGCAGGUAGCCUGUUGUAACAGGAAACACAUUUUGUCAAAAGACAUUACUGAUUCCAGUGGGUACUCUGGGCAUUGGAGACAAAAUUUAGCAUGAUGUAGAUGUCUUGUGAUAAACCGCAAGGCCUUUUAAACAUAGUAUUUGUUAGCGCAGAGUAUGAUUUCGGUUAACCGGAUUUUUUAAGUAUCAUGUAGAUGGAAUGGGAAUAAUCAGUUAGCCAUUCGAUAAUGAGUUGGCUAAUUAGUUGACUGCUAUGAACUAUGUAUGUGUUUUGAUAUGAAUUGACAAAAUUUGAAGUGCACUCUUAA
Non-coding RNA from Aegilops tauschii subsp. strangulata, 792 nucleotides. The record is from RefSeq and is a predicted model, not a curated record. Lineage: Eukaryota; Viridiplantae; Streptophyta; Magnoliopsida; Poales; Poaceae.